UACAUUCUGUUAAAGAAAGAAGGAGUA
This 27-nucleotide non-coding RNA is filed under the name Rattus norvegicus (Norway rat). The record is from RNAcentral. Lineage: Eukaryota; Metazoa; Chordata; Mammalia; Rodentia; Muridae.